This is a small nuclear RNA of Mesocricetus auratus (golden hamster), 105 nucleotides long. Lineage: Eukaryota; Metazoa; Chordata; Mammalia; Rodentia; Cricetidae. The record is from Ensembl.
AUGCACACUUUGGCAGCACAUAUACUAAAAGUGAAACAAUACAGAAAAUGUUAGCAUGACCCUGUAUAAGGCAGACAAACUCAUAUAGCAAUUUACAUGUCUCUU